RNAcentral lists this ribosomal RNA (255 nucleotides) under uncultured bacterium. RNAcentral's name for it is "partial 16S ribosomal RNA". It matches the Rfam family "Bacterial small subunit ribosomal RNA", at positions 524 to 776 of the family's 1533-position model. The record is from RNAcentral.
UACGUAGGGUGCGAGCGUUUGUCCGGAAUUAUUGGGCGUAAAGAGCUCGUAGGCGGUGUGUCGCGUCGGCCGUGAAAACCUGGGGCUCAACUCUGGGCGUGCGGUCGAUACGGGCAUCACUUGAGUUCGGCAGGGGAGACUGGAAUUCCUGGUGUAGCGGUGGAAUGCGCAGAUAUCAGGAGGAACACCAAUAGCGAAGGCAGCUCUCUAGUACGGUACUGACGCUGAGACGCGAAAGCGUGGGGAGCGAACAGG